RNAcentral lists this ribosomal RNA (2900 nucleotides) under Klebsiella pneumoniae. RNAcentral describes it as "bacterial LSU rRNA". It matches the Rfam family "Bacterial large subunit ribosomal RNA". Lineage: Bacteria; Pseudomonadati; Pseudomonadota; Gammaproteobacteria; Enterobacterales; Enterobacteriaceae. The record is from RNAcentral.
UUAAGCGACUAAGCGUACACGGUGGAUGCCCUGGCAGUCAGAGGCGAUGAAGGACGUGCUAAUCUGCGAAAAGCGUCGGUAAGGUGAUAUGAACCGUUAUAACCGGCGAUGUCCGAAUGGGGAAACCCAGUGCAAUUCGUUGCACUAUCGUUAACUGAAUACAUAGGUUAACGAGGCGAACCGGGGGAACUGAAACAUCUAAGUACCCCGAGGAAAAGAAAUCAACCGAGAUUCCCCCAGUAGCGGCGAGCGAACGGGGAGCAGCCCAGAGUCUGAAUCAGCUUGUGUGUUAGUGGAACGGUCUGGAAAGUCCGACGGUACAGGGUGAUAGUCCCGUACACCAAAAUGCACAGGUUGUGAACUCGAAGAGUAGGGCGGGACACGUGGUAUCCUGUCUGAAUAUGGGGGGACCAUCCUCCAAGGCUAAAUACUCCUGACUGACCGAUAGUGAACCAGUACCGUGAGGGAAAGGCGAAAAGAACCCCGGCGAGGGGAGUGAAAAAGAACCUGAAACCGUGUACGUACAAGCAGUGGGAGCACCUUCGGGUGUGACUGCGUACCUUUUGUAUAAUGGGUCAGCGACUUAUAUUCUGUAGCAAGGUUAACCGUAUAGGGGAGCCGCAGGGAAACCGAGUCUUAACUGGGCGUUAAGUUGCAGGGUAUAGACCCGAAACCCGGUGAUCUAGCCAUGGGCAGGUUGAAGGUUGGGUAACACUAACUGGAGGACCGAACCGACUAAUGUUGAAAAAUUAGCGGAUGACUUGUGGCUGGGGGUGAAAGGCCAAUCAAACCGGGAGAUAGCUGGUUCUCCCCGAAAGCUAUUUAGGUAGCGCCUCGUGAACUCAUCUUCGGGGGUAGAGCACUGUUUCGGCUAGGGGGUCAUCCCGACUUACCAACCCGAUGCAAACUACGAAUACCGAAGAAUGUUAUCACGGGAGACACACGGCGGGUGCUAACGUCCGUCGUGAAGAGGGAAACAACCCAGACCGCCAGCUAAGGUCCCAAAGUCAUGGUUAAGUGGGAAACGAUGUGGGAAGGCACAGACAGCCAGGAUGUUGGCUUAGAAGCAGCCAUCAUUUAAAGAAAGCGUAAUAGCUCACUGGUCGAGUCGGCCUGCGCGGAAGAUGUAACGGGGCUAAACCAUGCACCGAAGCUGCGGCAGCGACACUAUGUGUUGUUGGGUAGGGGAGCGUUCUGUAAGCCUGCGAAGGUGACCUGUGAGGGUUGCUGGAGGUAUCAGAAGUGCGAAUGCUGACAUAAGUAACGAUAAAGCGGGUGAAAAGCCCGCUCGCCGGAAGACCAAGGGUUCCUGUCCAACGUUAAUCGGGGCAGGGUGAGUCGACCCCUAAGGCGAGGCCGAAAGGCGUAGUCGAUGGGAAACAGGUUAAUAUUCCUGUACUUGGUGUUACUGCGAAGGGGGGACGGAGAAGGCUAUGUUAGCCGGGCGACGGUUGUCCCGGUUUAAGCAUGUAGGCUGGUUGUCCAGGCAAAUCCGGAUAAUCAAGGCUGAGGUGUGAUGACGAGGCACUACGGUGCUGAAGUAACAAAUGCCCUGCUUCCAGGAAAAGCCUCUAAGCAUCAGGUAACAUUAAAUCGUACCCCAAACCGACACAGGUGGUCAGGUAGAGAAUACCAAGGCGCUUGAGAGAACUCGGGUGAAGGAACUAGGCAAAAUGGUGCCGUAACUUCGGGAGAAGGCACGCUGGUGUGUAGGUGAAGUCCCUGCGGAUGGAGCUGAGACCAGUCGAAGAUACCAGCUGGCUGCAACUGUUUAUUAAAAACACAGCACUGUGCAAACACGAAAGUGGACGUAUACGGUGUGACGCCUGCCCGGUGCCGGAAGGUUAAUUGAUGGGGUUAUCCGUAAGGAGAAGCUCUUGAUCGAAGCCCCGGUAAACGGCGGCCGUAACUAUAACGGUCCUAAGGUAGCGAAAUUCCUUGUCGGGUAAGUUCCGACCUGCACGAAUGGCGUAAUGAUGGCCAGGCUGUCUCCACCCGAGACUCAGUGAAAUUGAACUCGCUGUGAAGAUGCAGUGUACCCGCGGCAAGACGGAAAGACCCCGUGAACCUUUACUAUAGCUUGACACUGAACAUUGAGCCUUGAUGUGUAGGAUAGGUGGGAGGCUUUGAAGCGUGGACGCCAGUCUGCGUGGAGCCAACCUUGAAAUACCACCCUUUAAUGUUUGAUGUUCUAACGUUGGCCCCUGACCGGGGUUGCGGACAGUGUCUGGUGGGUAGUUUGACUGGGGCGGUCUCCUCCCAAAGCGUAACGGAGGAGCACGAAGGUUAGCUAAUCCUGGUCGGACAUCAGGAGGUUAGUGCAAUGGCAUAAGCUAGCUUGACUGCGAGCGUGACGGCGCGAGCAGGUGCGAAAGCAGGUCAUAGUGAUCCGGUGGUUCUGAAUGGAAGGGCCAUCGCUCAACGGAUAAAAGGUACUCCGGGGAUAACAGGCUGAUACCGCCCAAGAGUUCAUAUCGACGGCGGUGUUUGGCACCUCGAUGUCGGCUCAUCACAUCCUGGGGCUGAAGUAGGUCCCAAGGGUAUGGCUGUUCGCCAUUUAAAGUGGUACGCGAGCUGGGUUUAGAACGUCGUGAGACAGUUCGGUCCCUAUCUGCCGUGGGCGCUGGAGAAUUGAGGGGGGCUGCUCCUAGUACGAGAGGACCGGAGUGGACGCAUCACUGGUGUUCGGGUUGUCAUGCCAAUGGCACUGCCCGGUAGCUAAAUGCGGAAGAGAUAAGUGCUGAAAGCAUCUAAGCACGAAACUUGCCCCGAGAUGAGUUCUCCCUGAGACUUUAAGUCUCCUGAAGGAACGUUAAAGACGAUGACGUUGAUAGGCCGGGUGUGUAAGCGCAGCGAUGCGUUGAGCUAACCGGUACUAAUGAACCGUGAGGCUUAACCUU